UUAAAUCCUUCGUCUUUAUCAGAUUUUAGUCUCAUAUAUUAUUUUCAAGUUAUCCUAAGAGUUAAAAACUCUCUUUAUUUAAAAAUUCAGGAUUAUAUUAUGUCUAAUGUCGUAAAAGGUACAGUGAAGUGGUUCAACGAGACUAAAGGUUUUGGCUUUAUUCAACAAGAAUCAGGUCCAGAUGUAUUUGCUCACUAUAGCGAAAUCACUAACCAGGGUUUCAAAACUUUAUAUGAAGGCCAGCAAGUGCAAUUUACUGUAGUUGACGGUAAAAAAGGCCCUCAAGCAAGCAACAUUACUUUAGUGUAAUAGCUCGUCUGCCUUGAAUAAUAAAAACCCAUCUUUUGAUGGGUUUUUU
This 358-nucleotide small RNA is filed under the name Acinetobacter radioresistens. RNAcentral describes it as "cspA thermoregulator". Lineage: Bacteria; Pseudomonadati; Pseudomonadota; Gammaproteobacteria; Moraxellales; Moraxellaceae. The record is from RNAcentral.